AGCGAACGCUGGCGGCAGGCUUAACACAUGCAAGUCGAACGCCCGGGCAACCGGGAGUGGCAGACGGGAGAGUAACACGUGGGAACGUACCCUUCGGUUCGGAAUAACCCAGGGAAACUUGGGCGUAAUACCGGAUACGUCCGUAAAGGAGAAAGAUUCAUCGCCGAGGGAUCGGCCCGCGUCCGAUUAGCUAGUUGGUGAGGUAAUGGCUCACCAAGGCGACGACGGGUAGCCGGCCCGAGAGGGCGACCGGCCACACUGGGACUGAGACACGGCCCAGACUCCUACGGGAGGCAGCAGUGGGGAAUAUUGCACAAUGGGCGAAAGCCUGAUGCAGCGACGCCGCGUGAGGGAUGACGGCCUCGGUUGUAA
This 372-nucleotide ribosomal RNA is filed under the name uncultured bacterium. RNAcentral describes it as "bacterial SSU rRNA". It matches the Rfam family "Bacterial small subunit ribosomal RNA", at positions 30 to 428 of the family's 1533-position model. The record is from RNAcentral.